Molecule: non-coding RNA, 153 nt
Organism: Trichobilharzia regenti
Lineage: Eukaryota; Metazoa; Platyhelminthes; Trematoda; Strigeidida; Schistosomatidae
Source: Rfam
AACUUUGAGCGGUGAAUCACUCGGCUCGUGAGUCGAUGAAGAGUGCAGCCAACUAUGUGAAAUAAUGUGAACUGCAAACUGCUUUGAACAUCAACAUCUUGAACGCAUAUUGGGGCUACGGGAUAUCCUGUGGCGACGUCUGUCCGAGGGUUG